GACGAACGCUGGCGGCGUGCUUAACACAUGCAAGUCGAACGAUGAAGCCUUACUUGCUGGGUGGAUUAGUGGCGCACGGGUGUGUAACACGUGAGUAACCUGCUCCUUACCCUGGGAUAAGCGCUGGAAACGGCGUCUAAUACUGGAUAUUACCUUUCAUCACAUUGUGUUUGGUGGAAAGAUUUUUUGGAUUGGGCUGGACUCGCGGCAUAUCAGCUUGAUGGUGUGGUAUUGGCUCAACAUGGCGAAGCCGGGUAGCCGGCCUGGGAGGGUGACCGGCCACACUGGGACUGGGACACGGCCCAGACUCCUACGGGAGGCAGCAGUGGGGGAUAUUGCACAAUGGGCGGAAGCCUGAUGCAGCAACGCCGCGUGAGGGAUGACGGCCUUCGGGUUGUAAACCGCGUGUAGUAGGGAAGAAGCGUAAGUGACGGUACCUAAAGAAAAAGCACCGGCUAACUACGUG
This 466-nucleotide ribosomal RNA is filed under the name uncultured bacterium. RNAcentral's name for it is "partial 16S ribosomal RNA". It matches the Rfam family "Bacterial small subunit ribosomal RNA", at positions 28 to 507 of the family's 1533-position model. The record is from RNAcentral.